This 253-nucleotide ribosomal RNA is filed under the name uncultured bacterium. RNAcentral's name for it is "partial 16S ribosomal RNA". It matches the Rfam family "Bacterial small subunit ribosomal RNA", at positions 524 to 776 of the family's 1533-position model. The record is from RNAcentral.
UACGGAGGAUCCAAGCGUUAUCCGGAAUCAUUGGGUUUAAAGGGUCCGUAGGCGGUUUUGUAAGGCAGUGGUGAAAGCCCAUCGCUCAACGGUGGAACGGCCAUUGAUACUGCAAGACUUGAAUUAUUGGGAAGUAACUAGAAUAUGUAGUGUAGCGGUGAAAUGCUUAGAGAUUACAUGGAAUACCAAUUGCGAAGGCAGGUUACUACCAAUAUAUUGACGCUGAUGGACGAAAGCGUGGGGAGCGAACAGG